Molecule: ribosomal RNA, 403 nt
Filed under: Staphylococcus agnetis
Lineage: Bacteria; Bacillati; Bacillota; Bacilli; Caryophanales; Staphylococcaceae
Description: bacterial LSU rRNA
Rfam family: Bacterial large subunit ribosomal RNA
Source: RNAcentral
GGCACCUCGAUGUCGGCUCAUCGCAUCCUGGGGCUGUAGUCGGUCCCAAGGGUUGGGCUGUUCGCCCAUUAAAGCGGUACGCGAGCUGGGUUCAGAACGUCGUGAGACAGUUCGGUCCCUAUCCGUCGUGGGCGUAGGAAAUUUGAGAGGAGCUGUCCUUAGUACGAGAGGACCGGGAUGGACAUACCUCUGGUGUACCAGUUGUCGUGCCAACGGCAUAGCUGGGUAGCUAUGUAUGGACGGGAUAAGUGCUGAAAGCAUCUAAGCAUGAAGCCCCCCUCAAGAUGAGAUUUCCCAACUUCGGUUAUAAGAUCCCUCAAAGAUGAUGAGGUUAAUAGGUUCGAGGUGGAAGCGUAGCGAUACGUGGAGCUGACGAAUACUAAUCGAUCGAAGACUUAAUCAA